AGUUGGCGGGGUAACGGCCCACCAAACCGACGAUGGAUAGGGGUUCUGAGAGGAAGGUCCCCCACAUUGGUACUGAGACACGGACCAAACUCCUACGGGAGGCAGCAGUGAGGAAUAUUGGUCAAUGGCCGAGAGGCUGAACCAGCCAAGUCGCGUGAAGGAAGAAGGAUCUAUGGUUUGUAAACUUCUUUUAUAGGGGAAUAAAGUGGAGGACGUGUCCUUUUUUGUAUGUACCCUAUGAAUAAGCAUCGGCUAACUCCGUGCCAGCAGCCGCGGUAAUACGGAGGAUGCGAGCGUUAUCCGGAUUUAUUGGGUUUAAAGGGUGCGUAGGUGGUGAUUUAAGUCAGCGGUGAAAGUUUGUGGCUCAACCAUAAAAUUGCCGUUGAAACUGGGUUACUUGAGUGUGUUUGAGGUAGGCGGAAUGCGUGGUGUAGCGGUGAAAUGCAUAGAUAUCACGCAGAACUCCGAUUGCGAAGGCAGCUUACUAAA
RNAcentral lists this ribosomal RNA (489 nucleotides) under uncultured bacterium. RNAcentral describes it as "bacterial SSU rRNA". It matches the Rfam family "Bacterial small subunit ribosomal RNA", at positions 247 to 733 of the family's 1533-position model. The record is from RNAcentral.